UCCAUCUUUGCCAACCAGAAGCAUGGAGAAAUAUUCAGGGCUGAUUUGGAAAUAAUUGCGGAUGUCUUUCACCAGUGACUCCAUUCUCCACAUCCUAAUUUGUGGUAAAUGAGCUACACCUGGCAAAAAAAGGAAACAAUAUCUUAAAUAUUUCUUUUAACCAUCUUAAGGAUCAGAUCCACUGGAAUCAAGCUAAAGAAAAUACUGAAGAUCCCUCAGAAAUAGUCACCACAUCAUUCCUCAGAGGCCCUUCAGCAAGGACAACACUGAAACCAG
Non-coding RNA from Caretta caretta (loggerhead turtle), 276 nucleotides. Lineage: Eukaryota; Metazoa; Chordata; Testudines; Cheloniidae. The record is from RefSeq and is a predicted model, not a curated record.